CUGCUGCCUUCCGUAGGAGUUUGGUCCGUGUCUCAGUACCAAUGUGGGGGGCUGACCUCUCAGUCCCCCUAUGUAUCGUCGCCUUGGUGAGCCGUUACCUCACCAACUAGCUAAUACAACGCAUGUCCAUCUCUGACCACCUGAGUUUUCAACCACCGAAGAUGCCUCCGGUGAUGUUAUGGGGUAUUAGUACCAAUUUCUCGAUGUUAUCCCCCUGUCAAAGGUAGGUUACAUACGCGUUACGCACCCGUCCGCCGGUCGCCGG
Molecule: ribosomal RNA, 265 nt
Filed under: uncultured bacterium
Lineage: Bacteria
Description: partial 16S ribosomal RNA
Source: RNAcentral